RNAcentral lists this ribosomal RNA (813 nucleotides) under marine sponge bacterium PLATErafhis+(3)-2. RNAcentral describes it as "bacterial SSU rRNA". It matches the Rfam family "Bacterial small subunit ribosomal RNA", at positions 54 to 914 of the family's 1533-position model. The record is from RNAcentral.
CAUGCAAGUCGAGCGCGACCUUCGGGUCNAGCGGCGGACGGGUUAGUAACGCGUGGGAACGUACCCUUUUCUAAGGAAUAGCCACUGGAAACGGUGAGUAAUGCCUUAUACGCCCUUCGGGGGAAAGAUUUAUCGGANAAGGAUCGGCCCGCGUUAGAUUAGAUAGUUGGUGGGGUAAUGGCCUACCAAGUCUACGAUCUAUAGCUGGUUUGAGAGGAUGAUCAGCAACACUGGGACUGAGACACGGCCCAGACUCCUACGGGAGGCAGCAGUGGGGAAUCUUNGACAAUGGGCGCAAGCCUGAUCUAGCCAUGCCGCGUGAGUGAUGAAGGCCUUAGGGUCGUAAAGCUCUUUCGCCUGUGAAGAUAAUGACUGUAGCAGGUAAAGAAACCCCGGCUAACUCCGUGCCAGCAGCCGCGGUAAUACGGAGGGGGUUAGCGUUGUUCGGAAUUACUGGGCGUAAAGCGCGCGUAGGCGGACNUUUAAGUCNGAGGUGAAAUCCCAGGGCUCAACCCUGGAACUGCCUUUGAUACUGGGUGUCUUGAGUUCGAGAGAGGUGAGUGGAAUUCCGAGUGUAGAGGUGAAAUUCGUAGAUAUUCGGAGGAACACCAGUGGCGAAGGCGGCUCACUGGCUCGAUACUGACGCUGAGGUGCGAAAGUGUGGGGAGCAAACAGGAUUAGAUACCCUGGUAGUCCACACCGUAAACGAUGAAUGCCAGUCGUCGGGNAGUAUNCUGUUCGGUGACACACCUAACGGAUUAAGCAUUCNNNCUGGGGAGUACGGUCGCAAGAUUAAAACUCAAAGGAAUUGAC